GCGGCUACCAUGCAGUCGAGCGCCCCGCAAGGGGAGCGGCAGACGGGUGAGUAACGCGUGGGAACAUACCCUUUCCUGCGGAAUAGCUCCGGGAAACUGGAAUUAAUACCGCAUACGCCCUACGGGGGAAAGAUUUAUCGGGGAAGGAUUGGCCCGCGUUGGAUUAGCUAGUUGGUGGGGUAAAGGCCUACCAAGGCGACGAUCCAUAGCUGGUCUGAGAGGAUGAUCAGCCACAUUGGGACUGAGACACGGCCCAAACUCCUACGGGAGGCAGCAGUGGGGAAUAUUGGACAAUGGGCGCAAGCCUGAUCCAGCCAUGCCGCGUGAGUGAUGAAGGCCUUAGGGUUGUAAAGCUCUUUCACCGGAGAAGAUAAUGACGGUAUCCGGAGAAGAAGCCCCGGCUAACUUCGUGCCAGCAGCCGCGG
RNAcentral lists this ribosomal RNA (425 nucleotides) under uncultured bacterium. Its description in RNAcentral is "bacterial SSU rRNA". It matches the Rfam family "Bacterial small subunit ribosomal RNA", at positions 46 to 520 of the family's 1533-position model. The record is from RNAcentral.